GGAGGUGUCGCAUAGUGGUCUAGUGCGCUCGUCUUGAAAACGAGAGUGCCGCAAGGCACCGUGAGUUCGAAUCCCACCACCUCCG
This is a non-coding RNA of Parcubacteria bacterium C7867-006, 85 nucleotides long. The record is from Rfam. NCBI's taxonomy places the organism in Bacteria, Candidatus Parcubacteria.